CAGUGCUGUGCAACGCAGCGUUUUGUGAGAACUUUUGUCAGACUCUCCGUUUUUAUUUUCUUUCUGUCGCUCAUGUUGCUCUGCUAUUUUAAAUGUGAAAUAUGACGCAAUAGAAGGGAAUAUUUAACAGAUUCAGUGUAGACAGAUAACAUCGAAUGCUACCAGACAGUCGCUCGCUUGGAUCCUGUUAGGGCACACUGUUACAGUGGUCCAUGCUGGUGCUUACUAUCAUAUGAAGAGCUCAGGUCAGCGGAGGCCAGUGUCUGUGCCUCGCUCUCGUCGGUGGGGAUGCGCUCGUACUUGGCCUGCUCAGCGCCCGUCAUGUUGCCAGUGCGUCGUCGCUCCUGCAGGUCGUAACUUCGGCUCGACACUCUCGCCAGAGGGACGGCAGUGGGGGCUCCAGCAAGUGACCUAGGGGGUGCUCCGCCAGGCCCGGGGCUGCCACGGUGAUCGCGGCCCUUCCUCUUCUUCUUGUUGGUCUUCUUCCUCUUGCUGUCUCCAGGAAGCUUGGACAGAGGCCGGUGGAUGUGGUGGGAAGAGCUGCGAUGAU
Molecule: long non-coding RNA, 550 nt
Organism: Alosa sapidissima (American shad)
Lineage: Eukaryota; Metazoa; Chordata; Actinopteri; Clupeiformes; Clupeidae
Exons: 3
Source: RefSeq, a predicted model, not a curated record